Long non-coding RNA from Chiroxiphia lanceolata (lance-tailed manakin), 533 nucleotides. RefSeq lists it as uncharacterized. The transcript has 4 exons. Lineage: Eukaryota; Metazoa; Chordata; Aves; Passeriformes; Pipridae. The record is from RefSeq and is a predicted model, not a curated record.
CAAGGCCUUAAUGAAAGAGAGACUCCCUUGUCCACAGUGACAGUCUGUAGCUCCCAGCAUCUUCUCCCAAACUUCCCCAGAGCUAUGAAAUGCCAACGUAGCUCAUGAGCAAACUGAGAUACAGGCCCUUGGAAGCAGCACAGAAGUAUCACUGGAUGUUCCUGUGCUUCUUGAAGGUGUCUGCCCAUCACCACUUUGAUCACCCUGCACUGGAUUCUCCAUCUUUUCCCCCCCUGGUAUCACCAGGAGAGGGGUUGGACAUCAAGGAAAAUCAGUUGCCUGAGGUGGCUCUGAUGAAGCUGCUCAGGGAAGUGUGGAUGCUGCUGGUGUCCUGUGCCCUCCAGAACACUCCUGGAUGUGGUGGCAUCUCAGUGACCCUCACUGAGCCAUGGGAAUGAAUAUUGAAGGCAGCUGAUGUGUGUGCCCGGGAAUAAAGGACAAGGAAUUCCUGGGAUUGGCUGCAAUGGUUCAAAUGUGAUUGCACCAAUGCUCCUGUUGUGUUGCUCUUCUCAAAAAGCCCAGCCUGCAGGAGA